Molecule: long non-coding RNA, 541 nt
Filed under: Marmota monax (woodchuck)
Lineage: Eukaryota; Metazoa; Chordata; Mammalia; Rodentia; Sciuridae
Source: RNAcentral
AGAUCACAUGCUGCAAUAUUUAAGCUUGAUGGGAUGAGUUAAGGAUAGGGGCUUAAGAUGGCUUAACUGGCAUUUCUGCUUACAUUUGAAAGACUUGGAUCAGUGUCAUCUGAGGCAUCCUUGUGGUCUAUCCUGACACACGUGAAAAUAUUAGCUAUGCCGAAGGAACUUUGGGAUAAGGUCUAUGCUUUGCAUGUUAGUUUAAUUUAUAUUUUGACUAAGACGCUUGUUUCAUACAAAGGUUUCUAUGGGCAUUGAUUUUUUUUCCCUGUUGACAUUAAAUGAGAAAGCACUUUUUUUUUUCCUGAAAACCAACAGUUUUCUACGCAAAUGGGUUCAGACUUAAUUUUAAUGGAAGUGAAACAUAGUCAAUAGAGGCAAAUUAAAACCAUAUAAUUUUGUAAUCUUAGUUUAGCUAUAAUUGCAGCAAUAAAACAGUGGAAAGAAUAAUUGUGGAACAUAUGUUUGUGAGUGACAUUAUCUAGGUGACUUCCCCUUUACGGCAGUGUGCUGUCCUAUUUGUUUCCCCCUCCCUAUGUAU